AUGAGCCUGUCUUUGGUGGUGGGUAUGGCCGAGCUGGCUGUCCUUGUGGGUUUCGUCUCGUAUUUCACCUUCCAACACCACGGAUGCUGCUGCGUGCGCCGUGACGGCGUCUCCGUAUCCAGCUUCGCGCUGGGCAUCUUCCUCGCCAUCCUCUCAUGGUUAUUGACGAUUUGGGCGGUACGACUAUAUCUCGUCGAUGUGGGGGCGAUCUGGCCGGGGAGGCGUGGUAAACCCCCCCGAGUGUUACGCCUCUCUUAA
Molecule: ribosomal RNA, 258 nt
Filed under: Triticum aestivum (bread wheat)
Lineage: Eukaryota; Viridiplantae; Streptophyta; Magnoliopsida; Poales; Poaceae
Description: partial small subunit ribosomal RNA
Source: RNAcentral